This 497-nucleotide ribosomal RNA is filed under the name uncultured bacterium. RNAcentral describes it as "partial 16S ribosomal RNA". It matches the Rfam family "Bacterial small subunit ribosomal RNA", at positions 28 to 507 of the family's 1533-position model. The record is from RNAcentral.
GAUGAACGCUGGCGGCGUGCCUAAUACAUGCAAGUCGAGCGAACGGACGAGAAGCUUUCUUCUCUGAUGUUAGCGGCGGACGGGUGAGUAACACGUUGAUAACCUACCUAUAAGACUGGGAUAACUUCGUGAAACCGGAGCUAAUACCGGUUAAUAUUUUGAACCGCAUUGUUCAAAAGUGUAAGACGGUCUUGCUUUCACUUAUAGAUGGAUCCGCGCUGCAUUAGCUAGUUGGUAAGGUAACGGCUUACCAAGGCAACGAUGCAUAGCCGACCUGAGAGGGUGAUCGGCCACACUGGAACUGAGACACGGUCCAGACUACUACGGGAGGCAGCAGUAGGGAAUCUUACGCAAUGGGCGAAAGCGUGAAGGAGCAAAGCCGCGUGAGUGAUGAAGGUCUGCGGAUCGUAAAACUCUGUUAUUAGGGAAGAACAUAUGUGUAAGUAACUGUGCACAUCUUGACGGUACCUAAUCAGAAAGCAACGGCUAACUACGUG